AUGCAACCUGACCCUGCUGCUACUAAUGUCAAAAAACCUUCAGCUAGGAAAAAGGCCGUGGCCGUGCCUUGGAAGCGAUCAAGAAAGAGAGUCAGUGAAAGAUUGAAGGAAGUGAGGAAUGCCAAAAGACAUGGUGGGCCUGGAUCAACACCUGAUGCACCUUUGACCAUAGGUGAAGAAACUGGUGGUAGUACCUCAAAGAAGAUAUCAAGGAAGAAGAGGAAGGGCAUUGAUCAGUAG
Non-coding RNA from Vicia faba (fava bean), 240 nucleotides. Lineage: Eukaryota; Viridiplantae; Streptophyta; Magnoliopsida; Fabales; Fabaceae. The record is from the annotation of a GenBank genome assembly.